AAACCAUCCAAACCAAUAUAACUUGUGACAAGCUUGUAACAACUUGAAACAUUUAAUAAAGCAGCAAAAUGAAAUUUCAUAUUUCAUUUCUUUUGUGCUUUCUAUGCAUCAAUUUAUUUGUCACCACCGCAAAUACCAAACCCACGCCAAAUUUUGUAAUUGGAUUUCCCGGUACUUACGUCGCAGGAUGGUACAAUUAUCCACUGUAUCCAUACGUUUACAGUUACCCUAUUUACUACAGAGCUGCAGACGGUACUCUAAAAAUCACUUGGUCUACAGACACAAUUCCAUAAACACUUCUUUAGUACUUGAGUAAUAUAUUUAGUAAAAAAUCAUAUCUACAGUAAAUGCUUACUUAUGCUUUCUACUACAA
Long non-coding RNA from Zophobas morio, 373 nucleotides. RefSeq lists it as uncharacterized. NCBI's taxonomy places the organism in Eukaryota, Metazoa, Arthropoda, Insecta, Coleoptera, Tenebrionidae. The record is from RefSeq and is a predicted model, not a curated record. The transcript has 3 exons.